GUAAGACCAGAUUGACGGUUAAUCGUGUACGGAGCUCAACAGCUGUUCGGACGAACAACGUGAAACCUGCUCGCGAAUAACGCAGAACCUGCUGGCGAAAGAGACGGCUCCAUGGAAGGUUAACGUCUAACACGAGUUAGAGAACGGCACCUAAAUUGGACGACGCAUAGCGUCUGUUCCUGGAUAUGGAAUCAACGGGGUUACGAGUUUCUUGCCCUGACUCAAACAGACCGAAAACGACGUAGUUGAUUGUUGUACGUCAUAAAUUCAUCAAAGUCACAGUCUGAUUAUUACACGAUAUCUACCGCGUGCUUUUAAGGACAGUAAUAACGCUAAUAAGUUGGUCUCAAAUGUGUUAAAAUCGAUCAUCGGCAGAAAAUCGAUUGCACAGGUGACGCGCGACAAUCGACGAGCGUCCAACGAGAACGUCCACGCGAAUCCAAUUUUGGAACGCGGCAGUUAUUUCUAUUAACCAGUUAGACAUCUCUUUGCCGUUUAAUGGCCGAACCAGAACGCUGUGUUCGACGGGUGAUUAAUGGCAUGAGAAAAUAUCCGGGUUCCACAACGAUUGGCCACUGCCCAGAUCAAUUCGUAGACUUUGGACUUGACACUGAACUUGCCGAAUUGUUCCUUUGAAGACGAUUUUCUCUAUUAGCGCGAAUUAAAUACAGCGAUGACGGUUUUUAUUUUAAAAUAUAUCUUUCAGUGAUCGAUAUGUUUUUAUUUCAAAAUAUUAGAUUGUCCCAAAAGUUUCUUUCGCUUUAUUAAUUAGUAAUACAUGGCCAAUAGUUUAUGUUUUAUGUUAUAUUACUGAAUUGUGCACGACUCAUUUUGUUCCAUUACUGUUACAACAUGAAUAUCUAUGAAAUUAGAUUGUCUAUUUAUAUAAACACGACCACAUCAAAUAAUUGAGUGCAACUCGCGAAAGAAACUUUCAGGACAACCUACUAUAUAUACAUCGUUCAGUGAUCGAUAUCUGUUUUCUGUCGAACUCGAACAAGUCUCGAAGAAGAAGUGUCGAAAAAGCUGUGCUUUUCCGUCGAAACAGCGAAACAGCGAAACAGCGAAACAGACGAAAUGGAUCAUUAUUAUUUCAAAGAUUUCUCAAGAAAGAAAUUCUUGAUAUUUAGAAUAAUAAAAUGCAACUAAGUUAGCUAGAAGUUCUUUAUGCAGUGGACAUGGCAACACCGACAACGGCCUUGAGCUUUGCUCGAGUCGACGAAAAUAAGAUCAAAGCAGAGAAAUUGUCUAGAGAUGAGUUUCACAGAAACCGGUGACAACCGGUGCUCAGUGAGCGCAAAGACGGGCUACCGAAUUAUGCAAUCGCCUUUCUCGUUUCCGGUUUCCCCGAAACCGGAAGCUCUGGCGCAAUCUUCCGCGAGAACACUUGGUUUACGGAUUUAUAGGCCUGCCAGAUUUAAAUAGGUCUCCAAAUCAUUCAAAUAUUCCUAAACUCGCAGGACCGAAGGGAAGCGUGUAACGCGAACUAAAGUUUGGAAUAGGUUCGAAGUCCGACUUCGUUACUCCCUAAUUUACCGGAAAAAUAUAUCGCGUAUCAACGUAUAAACUUCCUUCAUCCGAAAAUAAACAACAAAGAAAAAUGUACGAUACACAAAUUCCUCUUAAUCGAAAUAAAUAAAUUAUACCGUUUCCCUAUUAUUUUUUACACGUCGCUAAAUUUCUGGAUGUACCACUGCCGGUGGUCUCUGCCAACAGAAAAACGUUUCGCAAUCCGCCAACGCUAUACGUGCAGAAGACGUACACUCGCGUGUAUUUCCCACUUGAUGUUUUCAUUCAUAAACGCUUACACCGUCAUUCAUGCGCGAAACAAGAUCAUCGGAGCGAGAGAGACAUCUCCGUCGCUUCGACGACGAUUAUUCGU
This is a long non-coding RNA of Hylaeus volcanicus, 1882 nucleotides long. RefSeq lists it as uncharacterized. The transcript is spliced from 3 exons. Lineage: Eukaryota; Metazoa; Arthropoda; Insecta; Hymenoptera; Colletidae. The record is from RefSeq and is a predicted model, not a curated record.